CUCUCGCUCAACAAAUCGCUAUUCGAAGCUUACACACAGAGACACUGCAAUCGCAGCGUCUCGCUAUCGAAUGCUUUGGGAGAAAGUCCCCGGACGUCUCCUUUACGGAGCUUGCGGAAACGCGCCGCCAUAAAAGCACUGCGGCUGACCUCUGCACCUUGGCCCUCUCCGCGGCAUCCGCCCUGCCCACCGCUACAUCUCCUCUUGCGCGUCCUCGUCGGAGCCUGUUUGUGCGUCUCUGGCCCCCAUGGAUGAAGAUACGAGUCCGAGCCGGCGCCGUGCGUUCGGACCUCUGCCGGCGGGCGAGCAGUGGCGGAUGGUGGGUGGACGCUGUGGUGUCUGCGGGAGUGGCAUCGGGCGCGGAUGACCUGUUGUCGAGGUCGAUAGGUAUGCGAUUGCCCGGCGCAAGCUGGGUUACUCGAUGGGGCUUAUUCUUGAGGCGAGG
RNAcentral lists this RNase MRP RNA (445 nucleotides) under Tolypocladium ophioglossoides CBS 100239. RNAcentral's name for it is "RNase MRP". It matches the Rfam family "RNase MRP". Rfam says of the family: RNase MRP is an enzymatically active ribonucleoprotein with two distinct roles in eukaryotes. In mitochondria it plays a direct role in the initiation of mitochondrial DNA replication. In the nucleus it is involved in precursor rRNA processing, where it cleaves the internal transcribed spacer 1 between 18S and 5.8S rRNAs. Lineage: Eukaryota; Fungi; Ascomycota; Sordariomycetes; Hypocreales; Ophiocordycipitaceae. The record is from Rfam by way of RNAcentral.